CUUUAAGAACUCAGCGGUUCUUCUUGAAGCCCGUAGAGAGAGAACUUGUUUGCCUGACACUGUGAGGCUCAGCUUUCCUUAUGGGACCUUACCAUGGCUUGAACUCACAGUGAUCCUGUCUCAGCCUCCAAGUGGUGGGAUUAUAGGUAUGGUACAUGGAGCUACCUCAGAUUGUCCACAGCGGCAGACUAUUUGCCUCGUGAGUGCUCUGGCAGGUUCAUGACUCUUCCAGCUGAAGAUAGUUCAAUUUUUGGGACCCUAGAACCAGAGCCCAGAGAGGAAUGGAGGCACUCCAAAGAAGAAGGUGUGGCUGUUCCUCUUGCUAGUUCCUGCUCCUGCUGCUGCUGUUGCUGGUUUGUCUAGUGGUUGAGAGAAAAGAGACAAGAAGUUGGAGAUGAUAUCCUGAUGAGAUGAAGAGUAGAUUUCUCCCAAGAAACUCAAUGCCCCUAAUCAGCAGGAAGUAGUCUAAAUAAGAACUCAACUCUCCCUCUCCCUGCUAACCUUCUUCCUCUCCUACCUGGUGUUGAAGUGCUGGAAGGGAUUGGGGUUGAGAAAGGUGAUAGAUGU
Meriones unguiculatus (Mongolian gerbil) is the source of this 567-nucleotide long non-coding RNA. RefSeq lists it as uncharacterized. The record is from RefSeq and is a predicted model, not a curated record. NCBI's taxonomy places the organism in Eukaryota, Metazoa, Chordata, Mammalia, Rodentia, Muridae. The transcript is spliced from 3 exons.